This 864-nucleotide ribosomal RNA is filed under the name Microhyla heymonsi (Taiwan rice frog). Its description in RNAcentral is "partial large subunit ribosomal RNA". It matches the Rfam family "Bacterial large subunit ribosomal RNA", at positions 1111 to 2574 of the family's 2925-position model. Lineage: Eukaryota; Metazoa; Chordata; Amphibia; Anura; Microhylidae. The record is from RNAcentral.
AGCAGCCACCUUCAAAAAAGCGUUAAAGCUUCAUUGGUUUUUUAUAAAAAUCCCUUUAAUUUUUUAUAACCCCUAAUCUGUACUGAAUGGUCUCAUGACUUCAUGAGAGCCUAUAUGUUAGAACUAGUAACAAGAAGAAGCCCUUCUCCAAAAUGUAAGCAUGAGCCAAAACGAACAAUUCAUCGGCAUUUAAAGUUAAUAAUCUCCUAGUAGUAACUUUUCAAGAAAAACCUACUAUAUUUAACGUCAACCUUACACCAGCUCAUUUAUGGAAAGAUUAAAAGACUAGGAAGGAACUCGGCAAAUAAUUAACCCCGCCUGUUUACCAAAAACAUCGCCUCCUGAUUUUCAUAGGAGGUCUAGCCUGCCCAGUGACAAAGUUAAACGGCCGCGGUACCCUAACCGUGCAAAGGUAGCGCAAUCACUUGUUCUUUAAAUGAGGACUAGUAUGAACGGCAUCACGAGGGUUAUGCUGUCUCCCUACUUUAUUCAGUGAAACUGAUCUCCCCGUGAAGAAGCGGGGAUAAAAAUAUAAGACGAGAAGACCCCAUGGAGCUUUAAACUCAGUAUCAACUGCCAUUAUUAAAACCUAAUACCCAAGCAGUAUGUGACUACUAGUUUUCGGUUGGGGUGACCACGGAGUAAAACCUAACCUCCAUGAUGAAAGGAAAUGAUAACCUAAAUUAAGAGCAACAACUCUAAAUAUCAAAAAAUUGACUAAAUUGAUCCAAUUAAUUGAUCAACGAACCAAGUUACCCUGGGGAUAACAGCGCAAUCCAUUUCAAGAGCUCUUAUCGACAAAUGGGUUUACGACCUCGAUGUUGGAUCAGGGUAUCCCAGUGGCGCAGCCGCUACUAACGGUUC